This 65-nucleotide transfer RNA is filed under the name chicken gut metagenome. It matches the Rfam family "tRNA". Rfam says of the family: Transfer RNA (tRNA) molecules are approximately 80 nucleotides in length. Their secondary structure includes four short double-helical elements and three loops (D, anti-codon, and T loops). The record is from RNAcentral.
GAAGUAGUUCAGCGGUAGAGCGGCAGAUUGUGGAUCUGCUUGUCGAGGGUUCGAUCCCCUUCUUC